AGUGAACGCUGGCGGUAGGCCUAACACAUGCAAGUCGAACGGCAGCACAGUAAGAGUUUGCUCUUACGGGUGGCGAGUGGCGGACGGGUGAGGAAUACAUCGGAAUCUACUUUUCCGUGGGGGACAACGUAGGGAAACUUAUGCUAAUACCUCAUACGACCUACGGGAGAAAGCAGGGGUUCUUCGGACAUUGCCCGAUCUAAUGAGCCGAUGUCGGUUUAGGUAGUUGGCGGGGUAAAGGCCCACUAAGGCGACGUAUCGUAGCUGGUCUGCCAGGAUGACCGCCAACACUGGAACUGGGAAACGGUCCAGACUCCACCGGAGGGAGGCGUAGGGGAAUAUUGGACAUGGGGCGCAGGCCUGAUGCAGCAAUACCGCGUAGUGGAGGAAGGUCUUCGAGUUUUAAAGCCCUUUUGUUGGGAAGGAAGAGCGGCAGGUUAAUACCCCGCUGUUCUGACGGUACCCAAAGAGUAAGCACCGGCUAACUUCGUG
Molecule: ribosomal RNA, 492 nt
Filed under: uncultured bacterium
Lineage: Bacteria
Description: partial 16S ribosomal RNA
Rfam family: Bacterial small subunit ribosomal RNA
Source: RNAcentral